RNAcentral lists this ribosomal RNA (497 nucleotides) under uncultured bacterium. RNAcentral's name for it is "bacterial SSU rRNA". It matches the Rfam family "Bacterial small subunit ribosomal RNA", at positions 39 to 524 of the family's 1533-position model. The record is from RNAcentral.
CGAAGCUACAGCUUACCAUGCAAGUCGAGGGGCAGCAUGCAGGUAGCUUGCUAUCUGUGAUGGCGACCGGCGCACGGGUGAGUAACGCGUAUCCAACCUUCCCCGUAGUAGGGCACAGCCCGGCGAAAGUCGGAUUAAUUCCCUAUGUUCUUGACAGCAGACAUCUAACGUCAAGCAAAGAUUCAUCGCUAUGGGAUGGGGAUGCGUCUGAUUAGGUUGUCGGCGGGGUAACGGCCCACCGAGUCUGCGAUCAGUAGGGGUUCUGAGAGGAAGGUCCCCCACAUUGGAACUGAGACACGGUCCAAACUCCUACGGGAGGCAGCAGUGAGGAAUAUUGGUCAAUGGAGGCAACUCUGAACCAGCCAAGUAGCGUGCAGGACGACGGCCCUAUGGGUUGUAAACUGCUUUUAUAAGGGGAUAAAGGAUGCCACGUGUGGUGUUUUGCAUGUACCUUAUGAAUAAGGACCGGCUAAUUCCGUGCCAGCAGCCGCGGUAAU